CGUGCCUCCCUGGACCACGUGAGGCCGGCUCUCCCCUGACGUGGAGGUGGGGAGCAGCAGUGUGCAAGUGAUGAGUCGAAGGAGUGUGUGGGAUCUGAGCAUGAAGUCAGAAUCGGUUACACACCAAAGAGGGAUUCAGCUGCUUUGCUCAGACCUGGGAUGUCCCUGCCAAACUCCAAGUUAAUUGAAUAAUCUGACCACAUGAAAGAAAGGGAAGGAAACCCCCUCCGAAACGCUUUGUCAUCAUGAAAGGGCCGUUUCAAAGAACUGUUUGUGAAUUUCAUCAUGCUCGUUGCUCAGCCUGGAUUCUUGCAAGUUGUUGCUACAUUAUUUUUCUUUCUCACAAAAUGCUUUCCACUCUAGUUAAAGAUUAAAAAAAUCUAACAAGUGUAAACACAGUUUUUGGUUGAG
Molecule: long non-coding RNA, 411 nt
Organism: Mugil cephalus (flathead mullet)
Lineage: Eukaryota; Metazoa; Chordata; Actinopteri; Mugiliformes; Mugilidae
Exons: 3
Source: RefSeq, a predicted model, not a curated record